Molecule: non-coding RNA, 1183 nt
Organism: Triticum urartu
Lineage: Eukaryota; Viridiplantae; Streptophyta; Magnoliopsida; Poales; Poaceae
Source: RefSeq, a predicted model, not a curated record
CUUGACCAAUUGCGAUGCAGCCAGACUGAAAGCCAGGGAAUAAACAAAGCUUAAACCUGCAACCACCAAUACCACAUCCUCUGGAACAUAACUCAACAGCAGCAAAAAGGCAGAACUCCAGAUAGUCAGACACAGACAUUGAAUGAGAAAAUCAAAACAAAAAUAGAUACAGCAGACAAAAGCUUAAGCAGGAGCAAGAGAAACCUUGGUUCUAGAUUGAUCCCUACUUCAUAGCAGAGUUACUUGUUGCCUGCAUUUCGCUCUGUAAUAGGAUGUUGAGCGAUCUCUGUGUAGCACAGUUUAUCUAAUUCCCUUUAUACCGAUUUCUUCUCUUCCUAUUAUUAUAUAAUAAGACGUGACGAAGAUUUGCCCUAGAAAAAGCAUAAACAUUGUACACGUAUUUCUUCAAAAUCUAAGACCGUUCCAUUAGGGCAACUCCAUCGUAUCCCACGAGGGCAAUGUAUUGCAGCGGCGCUAGACACUAGGCAGUACUAAAACACUUGUUAGUUGAGCAACAUUUUUCUAUGACUUUACUUCCUUUUGUUUACUGGGACCAUCCAUCGGAUCUCAUUCUCGUAUUUGUAUUUGCAGGACUGCGUACCAAAGUUAUUGCAGCUACUUCAUCGGUGGUCACAUUAGUUGUUAUUUUGUCGAUGGUGGCCACUGCCCUUUUAUUUUUCACUGAAGACAAGAUAUAACCAAGAAAUACAUUUGAAGGUUGAAAUGUUUCUUAGGACAUAUGGCACAUCAAAACCCAGGAGGUACACUUUCUCUGAAGUUAAGAAGAUAGCAAGACCGUUCCAGCGCGCUCUAGUCUCGGUUGCAAUAUCACGCCACGUCCACUCCCCGGCUCGCGGUCACCACGAACGCAGCAAAAAACGUUGUUGAUUCCAGCUCGUGGUCACCACGGGCACAACAAAAAAUGCAGCUCGUUCCAGCCCGUGGUCACCAGGGUUCGCAGCAAAAACACUGCUGGUUCCAGCCCGCGGUCACCAUAUCCAGCACUGGCAGAGCCGGUCGUAGCAAAAAGGUUGCAAUCGCAGGUCAGAGGUGCUGGAACCGGGUAGAAGAAAAGCUGCAACCACAUCUGGGCGGUGCUGGAACAGGGCGACAGAAAAGCUGUGGCGGCGAGAUGUUUUGCUGCCACCGGCAAUGCGUUUUGCUGGAACCGGCCAAACAAAAG